RNAcentral lists this ribosomal RNA (427 nucleotides) under uncultured bacterium. Its description in RNAcentral is "partial 16S ribosomal RNA". It matches the Rfam family "Bacterial small subunit ribosomal RNA", at positions 355 to 774 of the family's 1533-position model. The record is from RNAcentral.
UAGGGAAUCUUCCGCAAUGGACGAAAGUCUGACGGAGCAACGCCGCGUGAGUGAUGAAGGUUUUCGGAUCGUAAAACUCUGUUAUUAGGGAAGAACAAAUGCGUAAGUAACUGUGCGCAUCUUGACGGUACCUAAUCAGAAAGCCACGGCUAACUACGUGCCAGCAGCCGCGGUAAUACGUAGGUGGCAAGCGUUAUCCGGAAUUAUUGGGCGUAAAGCGCGCGUAGGCGGGUUCUUAAGUCUGAUGUGAAAGCCCACGGCUCAACCGUGGAGGGUCAUUGGAAACUGGGAAACUUGAGUACAGAAGAGGAAAGUGGAAUUCCAUGUGUAGCGGUGAAAUGCGCAGAGAUAUGGAGGAACACCAGUGGCGAAGGCGACUUUCUGGUCUGUAACUGACGCUGAUGUGCGAAAGCGUGGGGAUCAAACA